This 30-nucleotide non-coding RNA is filed under the name Mus musculus (house mouse). The record is from RNAcentral. Lineage: Eukaryota; Metazoa; Chordata; Mammalia; Rodentia; Muridae.
UGGUUCCAGCACCCCAGUUCUUUCCUGAUA